This 369-nucleotide ribosomal RNA is filed under the name uncultured organism. RNAcentral's name for it is "partial 16S ribosomal RNA". It matches the Rfam family "Bacterial small subunit ribosomal RNA", at positions 527 to 896 of the family's 1533-position model. The record is from RNAcentral.
GUAGGGUGCAAGCGUUAAUCGGAAUUACUGGGCGUAAAGCGUGCGCAGGCGGUUUUGUAAGUCUGACGUGAAAUCCCCGGGCUUAACCUGGGAAUUGCGUUGGAGACUGCAAGGCUGGAGUCUGGCAGAGGGGGUAGAAUUCCACGUGUAGCAGUGAAAUGCGUAGAGAUGUGGAGGAACACCGAUGGCGAAGGCGGCCCCCUGGGUCAAGACUGACGCUCAUGCACGAAAGCGUGGGGAGCAAACAGGGAUUAGAUACCCUGGUAGUCCACGCCCUAAACGAUGUCUACUAGUUGUCGGGUCUUAAUUGACUUGGUAACGCAGCUAACGCGUGAAGUAGACCGCCUGGGGAGUACGGUCGCAAGAUUA